UACGUAGGGUGCGAGCGUUAAUCGGAAUUACUGGGCGUAAAGCGUGCGCAGGCGGCGUUGCAAGACAGAUGUGAAAUCCCCGGGCUCAACCUGGGAACUGCAUUUGUGACUGCAAGGCUAGAGUACGGCAGAGGGGGAUGGAAUUCCGCGUGUAGCAGUGAAAUGCGUAGAUAUGCGGAGGAACACCAAUGGCGAAGGCAAUCCCCUGGGCCUGUACUGACGCUCAUGCACGAAAGCGUGGGGAGCAAACAGG
This 253-nucleotide ribosomal RNA is filed under the name uncultured bacterium. Its description in RNAcentral is "partial 16S ribosomal RNA". It matches the Rfam family "Bacterial small subunit ribosomal RNA", at positions 524 to 776 of the family's 1533-position model. The record is from RNAcentral.